CCCUUAGACGUUCUGGGCCGCACGCGCGCUACACUGACGAAGGCAACGAGCUUUCCUUUACCGAAAGGUACGGGUAAUCUUUUGAAACUUCGUCGUGUUGGGGAUAGAUCCUUGCAAUUUUUGAUCUUAAACGAGGAAUGCCUAGUAAGCGCAAGUCAUCAACUUGCGUUGAUUACGUCCCUGCCCUUUGUACACACCGCCCGUCGCUACUACCGAUUGAAUGGUUUAGUGAGGCCUUCGGAUCCGCGACUCGUUUGUGGAGAAGUUGGACAAACUCAGUCAUUUAGAGGAAGUAAAAGUCGUAACA
RNAcentral lists this ribosomal RNA (307 nucleotides) under uncultured eukaryote. RNAcentral describes it as "partial 18S ribosomal RNA". It matches the Rfam family "Eukaryotic small subunit ribosomal RNA", at positions 1470 to 1796 of the family's 1831-position model. The record is from RNAcentral.